Suricata suricatta (meerkat) is the source of this 806-nucleotide long non-coding RNA. RefSeq lists it as uncharacterized. The record is from RefSeq and is a predicted model, not a curated record. The transcript is spliced from 3 exons. NCBI's taxonomy places the organism in Eukaryota, Metazoa, Chordata, Mammalia, Carnivora, Herpestidae.
UGGUCUUCCUGUCUCCCUCUUAUGCUAGUGCCAAAGUUGGGCACACCUGGGACUAUCCAAGAUAAUCUCUCCGUCUCCCAAUUCUUAACUUAAUCGCAUCCACAAAGUCCCUUCUACCACAGCAGAGAAUUUCAGAAUGUCAGAGCAUCAGGAGACCGCCACAUUCUUUUAUUUGCAACCAUGUCAUUUCCGGAAGGAAGGAGCGGAGGAGGCAGCAUGGUCCAGUGAAAAGAGCAUAAGACUGUUCAAGGUGGCCCAGAAACUCCAAGAAGGCCAAGGAACUGCAGAGCAGCAGUGGAGGGACCCCACGAUGCAGGAUGUAUGCCCCAACUUUCUGUGCGCAGCCUGCUGCAGACCCGGACUACUUGCCAAGGGAGGCUCAGCUCUUAGGAGAAAAGGGGCUACAAGGGAAACUUCCAAAGCCAGGGCCCCCAAAGAAACCAGUCAGUUCUUGGAGAUGGGGUGUGCAUGUGUGCGUGUGUGUGUUUGGGGGAAUCACAUCAGAAAACCCUGAAGCAGGAGCAUUUCAACAAAAGGACUGCCACCGAGCCCUGACAAUGCCAAGGCCAACAAGCUAUCCAGGAGUCCCUCAGGCACAGACUUCAACAGCGGAUGUAACGGGCAAGAUCUAGAUUCUCAAAGAAAGGCCAUGGACAUGUGCGCAAUGAGAGCAGCUACCCAACUGCAGAGACCAGCACCAGUACCAGCAUGAGACAGGGGUGACCUACAGCCUCCACCUCAGCCCCACCAUCUCCCCUAGUAUGCAGAGAUCACCUCGAGAAAAGGAGAGAAAUAAACCAUUCUGA